Molecule: small nuclear RNA, 104 nt
Organism: Neomonachus schauinslandi (Hawaiian monk seal)
Lineage: Eukaryota; Metazoa; Chordata; Mammalia; Carnivora; Phocidae
Source: RefSeq, a predicted model, not a curated record
GUGCUCGCUUAGGCAGCACACAUACUAAAAUUGGAACAAUACAGAGAUUAGCAUGGCCCCUGUGCAAGGAUGGCAUGCAAAUUCGUGAAGCAUUCCAUAUUUAA